RNAcentral lists this long non-coding RNA (1183 nucleotides) under Ananas comosus (pineapple). RNAcentral describes it as "long non-coding RNA (ACOM_LNC032541)". Lineage: Eukaryota; Viridiplantae; Streptophyta; Magnoliopsida; Poales; Bromeliaceae. The record is from RNAcentral.
GGAGAAGGAAGUGAAGAAGAGUUUUAUAGAAAGUAUUUGCUCAUCAAGUGUAGUAAUGUAAAUUAAUUUUAUUAAUAAGUGGAUAUGUAUUAUGCAUAUAAAUAGUACUAAAAUUUUCGAUCAGAAAUAUUGAUCUUGUUGUAGAUACUAUAAAGAAUUUUGUGUCAAAAUUUCAUCUGAUUUGAAUACUUCUACACCGUUAAACUUGGAAACGGCAGAUAUCAACCAUUUAAAAUUAUUGAUUUUGAAUCCUUUCGAUUGCUAGGUAAAUGAUAUCGAAAAAUCGCAAAAAUUAUUUUCUAGAAACUUCGGAUACGCUAUAUCAAGUCUAACGGAGCCGAUCGUCGAUUCAGAAAUUUCAUCAUUAAAAACAGCUCAGGAGCACGGAGGCCUCCGUGAUCCUGAGUCUCUCUCUCUCUCUCUCUCUCUCUCUCUCUCUCUCUCAUAUAUAUAUAUAUAUAGUUGAGCUGGAAUGCUAUCAGUAGCAAACGGACUCUGUUACCACCUAUUUGUUUUCGAUGAUGGAGCCCUCAAAUCGAUGAUCGGCACCGUUGAACAUGAUCUAUAUCACUUGAAGUAUCUAGAAAUUAAAUUUCAAAUAUUUUCGAUAUAUUGACCUAAUGAUCAUAGGGUUUCAAAAUUUAUAAUUUUAAUGGUCGAUGUGAGAUGUUUUCUCAUUUAACGGUGUAAAGCUAUCCAAAUCAAUUGAAUUUUGGUUAGAAAAUUUUUUAAACUAUUUAGAACAAGAUCUACACUCUCGAUCUUGAUUACAAAAUUCCUAUCAUCACUUUUUAGAGGAUAUUCAUUUUCAGCCGUUCAUUUUACGCCCACUUGAUGAACCAGAGAACAAUAUCGAAAAAAUAUGAAAUUUGAUUUCUAGAUACUUCAAGUGGUAUAGAUGAUUUUCAACGGUACCGAUCGUCGAUUUGGAGGCUCCAUCAUCGAAAACUAACUAGGCUACUAUGCUGUUAAUAGCACCAAGUUAUUGAUGCUACCAAGUUUUUGGCCAUUGGAUUAAGAGAUGUGCGGCUAGGAUGAUGUGGGCCUCUAGGGUUGAGUGGGUGGUUGGUUGAAUAAUAUGAUCUAACGGGUGAAAAUGAUCAAAAUGGUAGAUCUAACGGCGGAAAACUUGGUAGCACCAAGUGCUUCGUGCUAUUAAUAGCAUAGUAGCAGGACUAUAUAU